AAAAAAUGAAGAAAAAAAAUAAAGGAAGGUGGACUAAACCUUGCACUCUCAAACCAUACAGGGUUACAAAUACAGACUACGGAAAAUCUCUAUUAUACACCACCUGUUCCACCCCAGACAGAGGGGCUUACAACCACCCCUUAGCUCACUGCGAGGAAAACCCCCUGUGGGACCUGUAGCUACGACCCAAUCAAAACACGAAAUAGUGCCAACAUGACCGUCAGGAAUGAGCCACUCACUUAACACCCUCGACACUGAACAUUAGGAGAUACCCACAAGAGUUGCCAUAGAGGGGAUCAUACUGCUCUUCACAGAGAAGAUAGACCACAUGCAGCAAUAAGUUGCCUACAAUAGAAACUUCACUGGGGCAAUAACUACCCGCCCCUAUAUUUAGCCUAUUCUCACUACAUUCACACAUAUAUCCCUUCCCUUCCAAAGAGGUGCCUACCUCGACCAUGCAUACCGCGAAAUACAGGGAAACGAGAGACUGAUUCACACUAAGAGCAACUCAUCCCUCGUGAAACCGACUGAGUUUUACGCUUACUCGUAGUUGUCGUUAUACACGAGACGAAACUAAAUAUAUAAGUACUAAUGAUCCGAGACUACUGUUAAACGUUUUAUGUAAACCAAAGCAGAAUGUACAUGUAUUAUACUUUGUUGUAUGUAUGUGGAAGCCUGCGCGCCUCAUUAUGC
Molecule: non-coding RNA, 693 nt
Organism: Pelobates cultripes (western spadefoot toad)
Lineage: Eukaryota; Metazoa; Chordata; Amphibia; Anura; Pelobatidae
Source: the annotation of a GenBank genome assembly